UUUUUGCGUAUGAAUAAAUUGUAAUGGAAAUAUUUAUGUUAUCACAAUGUACGUGAUCUAGUAUUAGCUAGUUAAACACUUGUAACUGAGUGGAAAUGAAUAAUCACAUAAUGAUGUUCAGGUUAAGAAAUGGAUGUUAUUUAUCAAUAUAAAUAGAACUACUUUUCAAUGCGUAGUACUGUCUUGGGUGUUGUACGGUUUUCAUCAUGUCUGGUAAUCACUCAAGAUGAUGAGAAGAAAACCGAUCUGGAUUAACGAUAUUCCUGUUAAAAUAGGUAUAAGGGAGUGAUGUAGCCAAACCAGAGAUUUAGGUGGGUAGAUCCUGUUUCAUUCUGUGGAUUAAGAUUAAAAACUGGCGUGAUGGGGAAUUGUUUACGGAGAGACAACACAAGCAAUGUCCCUGGUACUCAGACGACUCCCCAACACAAGGCUGCACAGGAACUGUCAAAUGGGACACCCACUGUCCCCAUUCCCGUGGCAUUGUCCACCCCGCCCCCCUCAACAAGCCCCAUAGUGUCCAUAUCUUCCACCCCACAGCCGGAGCCUACGAGUGAGACCACUCCGACAACUACCAAAGUGUUCGUAGCAUUGUAUGACUACGAUGCUAGGACUGCGGAGGACCUCAGCUUCCGGAAAGGGGAACAUUUAGAAAUUAUAAACGAUACACAAGGUGACUGGUGGUAUGCUCGGUCGAAAACAACACAAAACGAGGGAUAUAUACCUUCUAAUUAUGUGGCUAAGUUGAAGAGUUUGGAAUCGGAACCAUGGUAUUUCGGAAAGAUUAAACGUGUUGAAGCAGAGAAAAAAUUACUUUCAAUAGAAAAUGAACAUGGUGCUUUCUUGAUAAGAGACAGUGAAAGUCGAAGAAAUGAUUAUUCCUUAUCAGUACGUGAUGGAGACACUGUCAAGCACUAUAGAAUAAGACAAUUGGAUGAGGGUGGCUUCUUCAUUGCGAGACGAGUUACAUUUAGAACGUUAUCAGAUCUUACAGAUCACUAUAGUACAGACCCUGAUGGAUUGUGCGUCAACCUUCGUAAACCCUGUACUCAGAUUGAAAAGCCCCAGACUGUAGGACUUUCUUACAACACAAAUGACCAAUGGGAAAUCCCCAAGUCGUCGCUCAAACUCAUACGCAAGAUUGGACAUGGCCAGUUCGGAGAGGUCUGGGAGGGACUCUGGAACAACACUACACCUGUCGCCAUCAAGACCCUCAAACCAGGUACGAUGGAUCCGAAGGACUUCCUGGCCGAGGCCCAGAUCAUGAAGAAGCUGCGACACCCUAAGUUGAUCCAGUUAUAUGCUGUGUGUACCCAGGAUGAACCGAUCUACAUUGUCACCGAGUUGAUGAGACAUGGCAGUCUGCUUGAGUACCUUCAAGGUAAGGGGCGGAGUCUGAAGCUCCCACAACUGAUAGAUGUUGCUGCCCAGAUUGCUAGCGGUAUGGCAUACCUGGAGUCUCAGAACUACAUACACAGAGACUUGGCCGCAAGAAAUAUCCUGGUCGGAGAUGCUAACAAUGUCAAGAUAGCCGACUUUGGGUUGGCCAGAGUCAUUAAGGAGGACGAAUAUGAAGCCAGAGUGGGUGCCAGAUUCCCCAUCAAAUGGACUGCUCCCGAGGCGGCUAACUACAACAGGUUCACCAUCAAGUCUGAUGUCUGGUCCUUUGGAAUCCUUCUCACAGAAAUUGUUACCUACGGCAGAAUACCAUAUCCAGGUAUGACGAAUGCUGAAGUGCUACAUCAGGUAGAACAUGGCUACCGUAUGCCCAACCCCCCGGGCUGCCCUAAGCCACUCUACGAGAUCAUGCUGGAGUGCUGGAGGAAGGAAGAAAUGGAACGACCCACAUUUGAGACACUACAGUGGAAAUUAGAGGAAUAUUUCGCCAAUGAGGGCACCGACUACCGUGAGGCUGGGGCUGUCAGAUAGGACAAGGGGGAUAACUCUAGUGUCUACCAGUAAACAGGAUAUAAACACUGCCUUGCUGUCAUGAGAAGCUGCUACAUGUCUGGCUGUACCAGACUGGACUACCCGGACCUACUGUGGACAGCUACGUCAGAUUGACAGCUGUUUUAUAUGGAGGACUCUAACCAUCUUGCUGUCCACAAGUGGUUUUAAAUGUUUUACAAAACAAGUAUUUUUUUUAUUUAUUUUAACAAAUUGGAGAUGUCUUUUUCUCAAGAUGGCAUGCAUAGAUGUAACAAAGUAUAAUUGGAUGUAUUUACACCCAGAAUACCUGGAGACGUACUGUCAAGUGCAUUGUUGUGUGGUGGGAGGCUAAAAUAUGAAUGGCCAGUCAUUAUCUGCCCUGCUUUUCUUGGCAUGGUUCAACAUUUAAUAUGUGCCUCUAGAGAAAUGGCGCAUCAGCUCCAGCCUUCUGUAGGUGGAUAUAUGUGCCUCUAGAGAAAUGGCACAUCAGCUCCAGACUUCUGUAGGGUGGAUAUAUGUGCCUCUAUAGAAAUGGCACAUCAGCUCCAGCCUUCUGUAGGUGGAUAUACUUCAAUGGUAGAUACAUGGAUACUGGUGACGAUCGCAGUGAACAGUACUGAGGUACAUAUACUUACAUUACAUGUUGUCACAAAAAUUACUUGGAUCCAGCUAAUAUUGGUGUUCAGGAUCACAUAUGAAGAAGGAAAAAUUACCAUUGAAUCUUGUUUCUAAGUCCACAGUUCUUUUGUCGUGUGGAUGCCUUGUUGCUUUUAAAUGACAUUCUACGAUUUGAUUAGUGUUUGGAAAAAAUGUGCUUUGAAUCGGUGAAAAAAAUAUUAUAGGUUUAAAGUGUAAUUGACUGCACAUUCAUGUCUUUGAUUUCAAACAAGAAUGGUCUUAGCUUGGAUCUGCAUAAAUUUCAUAUGUAUUAAUUAAUUGGUAAAGUUGAUGUGUAUACAUUCAAUGAGUUGUGUAUUGUAUAGACUGUGUACAGUAUCUUUGAAGACAGAACACUCAUUUUGAAUUGUAAUGUGUUCUGAUUGGUUGGAGGUUAGGUAUACCGGUUAUUCAAAUUUACUAGUCACUGUCUAGAACUAACACAGGAUAUAACGUAAAACACAAACGCAUAUUCCUAAGGUCACAUUACUUCAGUUGUGAAGAAAUGAAAUAUACCAUGUUAAUACAUUUGUACCCCCAAAAUCCAAGUCAAACUUUGGUUUGUCUCUAAACUUGUUAGAAUGAAAUGAUCAUAUUUCAUUUACAAACUUACAGCUGUCACUAAAUUAUGUUUCCUAUUGAAAAUAUUUUGCAUUUAUAUAAUUCACAAAUCUGAUUGUCUGAUGAAAUCAAGAUUGAUUUUUGAAUGCAUUAUCAUAAAAUAAAUUUGGGAAUGAGUUUUACAUUAACUCUUUUACCACCGUAGACCAUAAUGGACUCGCCCAGAUAAAUGUAUGGUAGAGUCUACUAAAGUUACUUAGGGGUGAAAUGGUUAAAUAGUGACUGUUAACUGUUAUACAUACAGGGUGUAAUUCACACUGUAAGGACAAUGUGAUAGAACUCCCUUUUAUAUGCCUCCAUUGGUUCGUUAUCACAAAAUGCAUUCAUACAGUGCUAAAUCUUUAUAUUGAUAGAAUGGAUUGUCAAUGCUUUGCCUUUAUCAUAUAUACUAUCCUACAAGGGUACAAUGUACUAUCACCCCUACGUCACAAUCUACCCACCAUUUUGUUACAGUCUUGUUUGGCUACAGAUCAAAGCUACAUAUGAAUAUAUAUACGAUACAAACAUUUAUAUAGCUGCAGGUUUUGAAUUUAAAAGGGGAAAUAUCACAUUGAAACAUAUAUAUAUCUACAAUAAAUAUUAUGUAAGUAUUAUGAUACUUAAGAUAUGUUAGUUUUAUAAAUCUCUUGUAACUUUUUCAUAUUCCUGACAGAAGCAGAACAAGCACUUCUGCUGAUAUAAAUUGAGUUAAUUUGGAAUUACAAAGUGAACUUCAUAAUAUCAGAAUUCAAAAUGUUUUGGGUUUUGUUUGGCUGACAUUUCACAUGGAGAAUACAUGAAUAGAAAUCUAGGUACUGGUAGUCACACUUGUAUUUAAAAUGCAAUCAUUAAUGCUCUUUCUAGUAUUCAUAAUCCAUGUUUUUUUGUAUAAAUUCCUGUUUGGACCAAAGGCUGUAUAAGUAAUACAUGCAGAUGUCAUGCUUAAUACAGAUAUCAGCCUCCGUACUGUUGUACCAGAUGAGUGGACGGAAGUACGCUGUCACAUAUCCAUGGUUACCGUUGGUGUGGUUACUUAGGUGGCACAGUAUUGUACAUCGUAACACAAGUUUUAUAUUUGUAUUUCUCUUCAUACAUAAUAUUGCACACAUUUUUAUCAACCGUUUUAAUAGAUUUAUAUAUUUGUGUCUGCUUCAGCUUGGGUGUCACAGUGUUGUAGACUGCUAGAUAAUGCAAUCUACAAAGCUAAUCGUGUGUAGACAAAGUCGCCUUUCAUAUUUGGAACAUUCUUGUAUGUAAGUCAUGUCCCCAUGAGCCUUCAUUGUCUGGUAAACAGAAACCGUUGUCAUAGUGAUGUACAUACACAUAACAUGAUUUGUCACUAAUUCAAAGUUUCAUAACAUUACUGUAGACAGUUUUCCUGGAACAGAUGGUUGUAAACUAUGUAAGAAUUGGAUAUGAGAACAUGUUUGGUUGUUGCUAAAUGUAUUAACUGGAAAUGAAAGUAAAUUUUGUUGAAAUACAGUGCUGAGAGGAAAAUUAGCUUGUGACAAUGUGAGCAUAAGGAUGCCGGGAUAAUGUGAGAAUGUCGUGAUGUGAAAUGUCACAUGACAUCGUGCUAGGCUAAGGGUAAUGUAGUUUGAUAUGGUGAUGUGAGAAUGUGACUAGAUGUCUAAUAGUACAUGUUGCUAGGUUGAUGUGGACAUGUUGCUAGGGUGAUGUUGACAUGUUGCUAUAUUGAUGCUGACAUGUUGCCAGGUUGAUGCAGACAUAUCACUAUACUGAUGUGGGCAUAUUGCUAGGUUGAUGUUGACAUGUUGCUAGGGUGAUGCAGGUAUAUUGCUAGGUUGAUGUGGACAUGUUGCUAGGUUGAUGUGGACAUGUUGCUAGGUUGAAGUGACAUGUUACUAGGUUGAAUUGACAUGUUACUAGGUUGAAUUGGACAUGUUGCUGGGUUGACGUGACAUGUUACUAGGUUGAUGUGGACAUGUUACUAGGUUGAAGUGACAUGUUAAGAGGUUGAUGUGGACAUGUUACUAGGUUGAAGUGACAUGUUACUAGGUUGAUGUGGACAGGUUACUAGGUUGAAGUGACAUGUUACUAGGUUGAUGUAGACAUGUUACUAGGUUGAUGUGGACAUGUUGCUGGGCUGAUUACUUGUGUUGCUUUGACAAUGUGAACAUGUCGAUUGGUGAUGUGGAGAUUUUCCAGAUCCUAGGAUGAUGAAUUGAAGUGACCAACAUAUAUUUACUCAAAUUCAAAUGAUGAUUAUAUAAGGUGUGUUGUACCAGCCUUAAGUGAUGAGUCAACAAUAUUAAAACAUAUUACAGUUACAGCUGCUAGCUUGUGGAUAAUUAUAGUACAUUUGUACUUGAGACUUUUUUUAAAUGUUCAUAAAUUAAUACAGUAAUUUCAGAUAAAAGUAAAGUUUUGUUCAUGACAUUGAUUCCAUAAGAUUUCAUCUCCAAAAAAUAUUAAGAAUCUUUCUGGUCAAUAUUACACCGGCUAUCCCAGAGUGUGUUAGGAUGUUGUGUGUUUGGAGAGUAAGGAUGUGUCGGUUGAUAAGGUGACUCAUAUGUGAUGAUGAGAGUGACAGGGUGAUGUGACGAGGGUUACGAUGUAUGUAUAUCACAGAGUGACAGGGUGAUGUGACGAGGGUUACGAUGUAUGUAUGUAUAUCACAGAGUGACAAUAUAUGUGCUUUCUUGAUUCACAAAGCUGUAAUUAACAUGUCAUUAAUGCAUUAUUCACUUUGGUUUUAUUUACUACAAUAUAUUGCAGCAACAUCCAUUUGCCAACAUUUUCAUGUCAAAUAUAGAGGGUGAAUCACCAUGGUUACCUGUAGCUGACCAAUCAUUGCUCAUAAUUUUGGAAGAACUGUGUUUGUUGUCGAGCUUUGACUAAAUUCAUGUCCAUCCUGAUGAUCGGGUGCUUCACAUAAAAAGGAGUGCAAUUCUCUGCUGGAUUAUACUCCUAGUGUAACAGUUCAACUGAUUAACAAAAUUCAUGCAUGGAUUUUAGGAGUGUAAUGUCAUGAUCUGUUUUAAUUAUUUUUCAGUACAUGUAAUUUGAUUUUUAUGUGAAAAGAGGGACAUUUUAAAAUGUCAACAGUAUCCAGUUUUACUCCUAUACAACAGCGCUUCACAGUUAUAGAUAUUUCUUUGCUUCACUUGGUUAUUUGCAGGAUGUUUUAGAGUAAAGUGGCAUUAAUAAAUACUGUUUAUGUAAGAACUAACGGUGAGAUUUGUAAAACUGAGACCAAGUAGCUGUUGAUUAGAAUUUCUCCAUUUUGUAGUUCGAAUGUUACCUCGUAGAAAUUCUCUACUAUGAUUUUGCCAAAAGGCUGUUUGUGUACAUGGUGUCACUGACUUGCUUGUGCAGUGAGGACAAUAAUACAGGGUCACACAUGUAAAAUUGUGAUAGAGAAAUUCUUAACUAAACCAAAAUACAAGAACAAAAAAAUAUAGAAGAUUGGAAUUUGAACUAAUGCAUAAGAAUCUCCCAAACUUGACAAAUGUGUUAAGUACAGUACGGGUAUGUAACACUCGAUAGAAGUUGACCGUUUGUUGAAAUUUUGAAAAUUGUUUUUCAGAUAAGCAUUUUCAAUGUGCAUGUAUACAGUACUACACAUAUACAAAAUAUAAAAUUAUAUGCAUUCUUGGUGCCCCAUUGGUUUCUGUGAUUAGAACUACAAUUUUAUACAAAACUCAUCAAUGUCGUUAUUAUAUCCAAGGACAGUGUCGUAUCUUUGUAGUUUCAUACAGUAAUUUCUUUAUAUUUUUAUGCAUUUGUGAUUUCAUAGUCAUUGUAUUCAAAUAUUACACCCAUUUAAAACAUGAAAUAUUGUUUAGCCAUUACUUUACAAGGAUGGCAAAUUCCGCUGUAUAGGUUGUAUAGGUCAAUGGAAUUAGAUUAUCCUGCUAAAAUUCGUUAUAGUUCUUUAGCAUUCUCUGCUCUACCUGGUCGACUGAAUUCACUACUCCUUGGUUUAUCCUUCAGUUAUCAACAAUAUUUCUGGAUGUAUUAAAUCUGAUUUCCUUUUCAUCCAGGCUGCUUAUUUUUCUCUCGAUUUGUUGGAAAUGAAUGCCAGAACAGAUUCUCUUACAAAAAAAAAAAAUGACUGACUUGCUAAAGGAGGAUAUGCCUUGUAUGAUUUUGGGGAACAGAACACCCUUGGGAUAAUGUAUGUAGGUCAUUGGGCGUCAGGAGAGGAUUGUGACAGAGGUGUAUGACGUCAACACUUCUACUGGUGUGUGUCCAGUAAGGACAUAUUCCUGAUAAACCGCUAGUCACUGUGUUGUAGUAGUCCCAUACUUGUGUUGACAACAGAUAAAUUCAUUUGACUCAAAUCCUGAAAUUUCAAAAUAGCUCACAUUUGUUGGUGGCUGUAAAUAAAAAGGCUUAAAGUGAAUGGAGAAAAGAUCAUGCCUGUACCAAAAUAUUUGACUUGAUGCAUUUUUCUCUAAUUUGUUUAUUUUCUUAGCUUAAUUUUUCCACCUCCUACAAGAAUGAGAUGACACUUUUAGCGCUCGAUAUCAUAAUGUUGUUCAAAUACUGAAGCUUCUGGGUUCUCCAUAUGUAUAGCUGGAACCAAGAGCAUAUUGUAUGUAGGAUACAAUAUCAUGUGUGUGUAUUUUCAUGCUGAAAGUAUGAAGAUCUCUGUUCCUGAUCAUACGACCAAAACUUAGAUAUGCAAGAUUUAUGUUAGAUGUACAAUUAACUUGCACUGUAAAACGAAAUUGGAGACAUUUGAUGCUUUUAAUUGUAUGAAUGUCUAUAGGUAAUGCAGUUAACAUGUAUUUGGAGAAGUUUAAAAUAUGGUACCGUUGUAAAACAAAUUAUGAAUAGAAAGAAGAUAGAGGAGAUACUCAGUAUGUAACAAUUCUUUGUUUAUUAUGAAGGAAUAACCUACCGUACCUGGAUACUAAAUUGUCUGUAAACAUGUUAGAAUUUGUAUCCAGUCAUUAAUAUAAGCAUCUCUUAAAAAAGGUUGAUAUCUAUUUUUUGUAAGCUUUUUAGGUGUAUGCCAAAUGAUUACAAAUUGGUUUAAUAUAUAAUGUUCCAGAUAUCUGUAUACUAUUCACAUUUAUAUGGAACAAAUUGGUUCCUAUGAUAUACAUACAGUGUAUAUAUUGGACAUUUGAAUUAGCUAAGAGUCUGGAGGAAACGUUUCUGUCAGGAGGCCGAGUGCAAUCUAUAUAUGACUACAGAGGUAUAACUAUAACUAUAUGUAUCCCACAUGUAUUAUUGUACGUCAGAGACUUGUGUGUCCUCCACUUCCUUCUGUCGUUCAUGUUGUAUUGUCAAUAUCUUUGUGUGUAACUCACAAUCUCUGUCAAGAAAUCAUCUUACAUUAAACUUAUAAAAGAU
RNAcentral lists this unclassified non-coding RNA (8511 nucleotides) under Mizuhopecten yessoensis (Yesso scallop). RNAcentral describes it as "tyrosine-protein kinase Src42A-like, transcript variant X1". The record is from RNAcentral. Lineage: Eukaryota; Metazoa; Mollusca; Bivalvia; Pectinida; Pectinidae.